RNAcentral lists this microRNA (23 nucleotides) under Sarcophilus harrisii (Tasmanian devil). RNAcentral describes it as "Sha-Mir-7373-o8h_5p (mature (co-guide))". The record is from RNAcentral. Lineage: Eukaryota; Metazoa; Chordata; Mammalia; Dasyuromorphia; Dasyuridae.
AAGCCCUUACCCAACUCUUUGCU